GUAGGUGAACCUGCGGAGGGAUCAUUCACAUGUAUCCAACCUGUAUCAACCAACUGUGAACUGUUUUGCCGUGAGAGGCAAGUGCUGAGAGUGUUAGCUUAGUCACUGAGUGGAAUCAGUGUUUACACUGAUUGAGACUAACUAGCUGUGACCGAUUCUUCGGAAUAUGGUCAGCUCUCCGUUUGCUAAUCCGGCCCUAUCUCUAGUCUAUCAAUGAUUGAUUGAUCCCCAUCUCAAUCGCUCUCAUUUU
RNAcentral lists this unclassified non-coding RNA (250 nucleotides) under plant metagenome. RNAcentral describes it as "partial contains small subunit ribosomal RNA, internal transcribed spacer 1, and 5.8S ribosomal RNA". The record is from RNAcentral.